AGAACGAACGCUGGCGGCAUGCCUAACACAUGCAAGUCGAACGCGUGUAGCGAUACACGAGUGGCGGACGGGUGAGUAACGCGUGGGAACCUGCCCUGGAGUGUGGGAUAACCGAGGGAAACUUCGGCUAAUACCGCAUACGACCUGAGGGUGAAAGAUUUAUCGCUCUAGGAGGGGCCCGCGUCGGAUUAGCUAGUUGGUGGGGUAAAGGCCUACCAAGGCAGUGAUCCGUAGCUGGUCUGAGAGGAUGAUCAGCCACACUGGGACUGAGACACGGCCCAGACUCCUACGGGAGGCAGCAGUGGGGAAUAUUGGACAAUGGGGGCAACCCUGAUCCAGCAAUGCCGCGUGAGUGAUGAAGGCCUUAGGGUUGUAAAAGCUCUUUCGCGCGCGACGAAUGAUGACGGUAGCGCGAGAAGAAGCCCCGGCUAACUUCGUGCCAGCAGCCGC
This 450-nucleotide ribosomal RNA is filed under the name uncultured bacterium. RNAcentral's name for it is "SSU rRNA". It matches the Rfam family "Bacterial small subunit ribosomal RNA", at positions 26 to 518 of the family's 1533-position model. The record is from RNAcentral.